AUACGUAGGGUGCGAGCGUUGUCCGGAUUUAUUGGGCGUAAAGGGCUCGUAGGUGGUUGAUCGCGUCGGAAGUGAAAUCUUGGGGCUUAACCCUGAGCGUGCUUUCGAUACGGGUUGACUUGAGGAAGGUAGGGGAGAAUGGAAUUCCUGGUGGAGCAGUGGAAUGCGCAGAUAUCAGGAGGAACACCAGUGGCGAAGGCGGUUCUCUGGACCUUUCCUGACGCUGAGGAGCGAAAGCGUGGGGAGCGAACAGGCUUAGAUACCCUGGUAGUCCACGCUGUAAACGGUGGGUACUAGGUGUGGGGUCCAUUCCACGGAUUCCGUGCCGUAGCUAACGCUUUAAGUACCCCGCCUGGGGAGUACGGCCGCAAGGCUAAAACUCAAAGGAAUUGACGGGG
RNAcentral lists this ribosomal RNA (398 nucleotides) under uncultured bacterium. Its description in RNAcentral is "partial 16S ribosomal RNA". It matches the Rfam family "Bacterial small subunit ribosomal RNA", at positions 523 to 918 of the family's 1533-position model. The record is from RNAcentral.